This 1817-nucleotide long non-coding RNA is filed under the name Homo sapiens (human). RNAcentral's name for it is "HSALNT0168066". Lineage: Eukaryota; Metazoa; Chordata; Mammalia; Primates; Hominidae. The record is from RNAcentral.
CACAGAUGCCCUGGGAUGGGAAUGAGGAGGCCAGAGUGCCAGGAGCUUUGUGGAAGAGGCAGGCAGAAGCCGAAUCUUGGGACCAUCCUUUCUCACCUUGCAUGGCCCAACAAGUCUGUGUAGGGCCUUUUCCAGGAAGGCAGAGCCUACCCCUAGCUGACUCUGUGUCCCUUCCUGUGGUUGCCUCACUGGUCCAGUCUCACUAGUCCCUCUGGCUCCCUCUGGCUACUUCCGGCUUCCUCUGGCAACAGACUACUGGGGGAGAUAAGUGAGAAUUGCAACAUGCUCUCUCAUUACCCUCAAGGAACUAGAAAGAUAGAAUCUCUACGGACCCCACAAGACGACUGAUACUACAGACUAGACAAGAGCACCAGAUGAGAAAAUGGAGGUACCAAAAAGUGGGCUCUGAACUGCAGAGCCUGGCUCCAGAGCCCUUGUAUUUGACUACUGGGAUCCACCGUUAUUCUCACAGCCGCGUUUCCCACAGGGCUGCUUUGUAUGGCCUCUUAGAAAAGUCCUGCCUGUCUCCACCAUCCAGACUAUGAUGUCCGUGAGGUCAGAGGAAAGGGAGAAUGUCUCACAUACAGAAAAUGCUUGAUCAACAUUGAUGGAAUCAUAAAUGGGCCUCAGCGGCACCUGUCCUGAGUCAGCAUCUCACAGAGGUUUUGCCAGCGCCAGCCACAUCUCCAGCAUGAAGGUGAUUGUCUGAGUGUGUCCAGUCCAGUUCCUGCCUUAAUAAAAAUCACUGCUGCAAGGGAGAGGGCUGCCAAGGCCCUGCCUCCCUCCAACCCCAUCCUAGCCUGAGUCUUAACCAUUCUUCCAAUCCAGUUCCACUUUGGGCCAGUGCUUAACCCAGGGUAGCACUUUUGAGCCUCGCAACUCUUGGGAGUGAGUUUUCAUCCUAACGUUCUCAGAUGAGGAAAUUGGGCCUCAAAGAGUCCACACAGGUGAGGCACCAUGGCUCAUGCCUAUAAUCCUAACACUUUGGGAGGCCAAGGCAGGAGGAAUGCUUGAGCCCAGGAGUUCAAGACCAGCCUGGGCAACAUGGUGACACCCUGUCUCUAUAAAAAAAUACAACAAUUAGGCAAACGUGGUGGCAUGCACCUGUCAUCCCAGCUACCUGGGAGGCUGAGGUGGGAGGAUUGCUUGAGCCCAGGAGGCUGAGGCUGCAGUGAGCCAUGAUCCUGCCAGUACACUCCAGCCUGGGUGACAGAACAAGACCCUGUCUCAAAAACAAAACAAAACAAAAACAAAAACAAAGCAUCCACACAACUAGCAGGUGAAAAACUGGGGUUCAAACUCAGGCCUAUAACACUAAGGGCUGGGCCUGUCCCCACCAAAUCAGUCUUUCCUCAGACAGGCUGAGGUGUCCUCUAUAGACCAAAUAUCUGGAGGUCAGAACACUGAGACACUAGUUAUGUAAAGGCAGGGUGUGAGUUGGUGAGCUCAUCGAGAAAAUGCUUCCUGGGCUGGGUGCAGUGGCUCACACCUGUAAUCCCAGCACUUUGGGAGGCUGAGGUGGACAGAUCACCUCAAGUCAGGAGUUCAAGACCAGCCUGGCCAACAUGCUGAAACUCUGUCUCUACUAAAAAAUACAAAAAUUUGCCAAGCGCAGUGGCACAUGCCUGUAAUACUAGCUCCUCGGGAGGCUGAGGCAGGAGAACCGCUUGAACCCAGGAGGCAGAGGUUGCAGUGAGCCAAGAUUGCACCACUGAACUCUAGCCUGGGUGACAGAGCAAAACUCUGUCUCAAAAAAAAAAAAAGAAAAGAGAAAAAAGAAAGAGAGAGAAAGAAAGAGAGAGAGAAAGAGAAAGAAA